GCAUUGUGUGCGUGUGAUUUGUGGCAAUGCGAUUUGCUUUGGAUUCCAUCCCCUUGUUGCAAACCUCACGCUCAAAGUGC
This 80-nucleotide microRNA precursor is filed under the name Drosophila busckii. RNAcentral describes it as "mir-988 microRNA precursor family". It matches the Rfam family "mir-988 microRNA precursor family". Lineage: Eukaryota; Metazoa; Arthropoda; Insecta; Diptera; Drosophilidae. The record is from Rfam by way of RNAcentral.